UGACAGUUCUGAUGACAGGUAUGAAUGUUGAACAGUAAGACGAAGAACAGAUCGACAACUAAAAAAAGACGAUAAACAUAUUUACGAAGUGCACGCUGUUAGACAGCUCAAAUUACAUAUAGAUUAGAUGAAACUAUCAAUAUUGCUUAAAAUUAGAUUAACUUCUUAGUAAGGUACUUGCUGUAAAGCUGUAUCGCUAGUUCUAUUCUUAACCUUAAAUUCAUGCCCUAAAAUUGUAAAAUCACGAAUUCGACCAACGACAACACUGAACACAGACGAAGCUACGUAAGGGACUAAACGUAAGUCUUAAACUAUAUACUAUUUACAUAUGUACAGGCAACGAUUUACAUGAAAUUUGUACAAUUCUAAAUCUUUGCGCAACGCCAAAACUAAAACCAUGUACUUGAAACCUUUUUCAAUAGGAGAAUUAUAAUCGUCCGCUGAAUUACGCCCAGUUCUCGUGUUUAACUUGCGGAGAUUAUAAUCGCGGAAAU
This 494-nucleotide long non-coding RNA is filed under the name Aedes aegypti (yellow fever mosquito). Its description in RNAcentral is "lncRNA AAEL023355". Lineage: Eukaryota; Metazoa; Arthropoda; Insecta; Diptera; Culicidae. The record is from RNAcentral.